GACGAACGCUGGCGGCGUGCCUAAUACAUGCAAGUAGAACGCUGUAGGAGGAGCUUGCUUCUCUGGAUGAGUUGCGAACGGGUGAGUAACGCGUAGGUAACCUGCCUGGUAGCGGGGGAUAACUAUUGGAAACGAUAGCUAAUACCGCAUAAGAGUAGAUGUUGCAUGACAUUUGCUUAAAAGGUGCAAUUGCAUCACUACCAGAUGGACCUGCGUUGUAUUAGCUAGUUGGUGGGGUAACGGCUUACCAAGGCGACGAUACAUAGCCGACCUGAGAGGGUGAUCGGCCACACUGGGACUGAGACACGGCCCAGACUCCUACGGGAGGCAGCAGUAGGGAAUCUUCGGCAAUGGACGGAAGUCUGACCGAGCAACGCCGCGUGAGUGAAGAAGGUUUUCGGAUCGUAAAGCUCUGUUGUAAGAGAAGAACGAGUGUGAGAGUGGAAAGUUCACACUGUGACGGUAUCUUACCAGAAAGGGACGGCUAACUACGUG
This 495-nucleotide ribosomal RNA is filed under the name uncultured bacterium. RNAcentral describes it as "partial 16S ribosomal RNA". It matches the Rfam family "Bacterial small subunit ribosomal RNA", at positions 28 to 507 of the family's 1533-position model. The record is from RNAcentral.